UCGGGCUACACGCGGGCUACAAUGGGUGGGACAAUGGGUAUCGACACCGAAAGGUGAAGGCAAUCUCCUAAACCCAUCCGUAGUUCGGAUUGUGGGCUGCAACUCGCCCACAUGAAGCUGGAAUCUGUAGUAAUCGUGUCUCAAAAUGGCACGGUGAAUAUGUCCCUGCUCCUU
RNAcentral lists this ribosomal RNA (174 nucleotides) under uncultured Methanomicrobiales archaeon. Its description in RNAcentral is "partial 16S ribosomal RNA". It matches the Rfam family "Archaeal small subunit ribosomal RNA", at positions 1165 to 1338 of the family's 1478-position model. The record is from RNAcentral. Lineage: Archaea; Methanobacteriati; Methanobacteriota; Methanomicrobia; Methanomicrobiales.